This 253-nucleotide ribosomal RNA is filed under the name uncultured bacterium. RNAcentral describes it as "partial 16S ribosomal RNA". It matches the Rfam family "Bacterial small subunit ribosomal RNA", at positions 524 to 776 of the family's 1533-position model. The record is from RNAcentral.
UACGGAGGGUGCAAGCGUUAUCCGGAUUUACUGGGUUUAAAGGGUGUGUAGGCGGACUUUUAAGUCAGCGGUGAAAUCUCCGGGCUCAACCCGGAAACUGCCAUUGAUACUAUUAGUCUUGAAUGUUGUUGAGGUGGGCGGAACGGGUCAUGUAGCGGUGAAAUGCAUAGAGAUCAUGAGGAAGACCAGUGGCGAAGGCGGGUCUCUGGACAGUUCCUGACACUGAGGCACGAAGGCCAGGGGAGCAAACGGG